AGGAAUGUGCCCGAAAGUUAGGGAUCACUUUGAUACAGUGAAUUAUAGGGGUUCAAACCCCCUCAUAUCCUU
Molecule: transfer RNA, 72 nt
Filed under: Pipa carvalhoi (Carvalho's Surinam toad)
Lineage: Eukaryota; Metazoa; Chordata; Amphibia; Anura; Pipidae
Description: tRNA-Ile
Rfam family: tRNA
About the family: Transfer RNA (tRNA) molecules are approximately 80 nucleotides in length. Their secondary structure includes four short double-helical elements and three loops (D, anti-codon, and T loops).
Source: RNAcentral